This 71-nucleotide transfer RNA is filed under the name Plestiodon skiltonianus (western skink). Its description in RNAcentral is "tRNA-Gln". It matches the Rfam family "tRNA". From Rfam's summary of the family: Transfer RNA (tRNA) molecules are approximately 80 nucleotides in length. Their secondary structure includes four short double-helical elements and three loops (D, anti-codon, and T loops). Further hydrogen bonds mediate the characteristic L-shaped molecular structure. tRNAs have two regions of fundamental functional importance: the anti-codon, which is responsible for specific mRNA codon recognition, and the 3' end, to which the tRNAs corresponding amino acid is attached (by aminoacyl-tRNA synthetases). tRNAs cope with the degeneracy of the genetic code in two manners: having more than one tRNA (with a specific anti-codon) for a particular amino acid; and 'wobble' base-pairing, i.e. permitting non-standard base-pairing at the 3rd anti-codon position. The record is from RNAcentral. Lineage: Eukaryota; Metazoa; Chordata; Lepidosauria; Squamata; Scincidae.
UAGAAAGUAGUAUAGUGGGAGUACAGAGGGUUUUGGGCCCUUUAGUGCAGGUUCGGAUCCUGUUUUUCUAU